This 523-nucleotide ribosomal RNA is filed under the name Vibrio parahaemolyticus. Its description in RNAcentral is "partial 23S ribosomal RNA". It matches the Rfam family "Bacterial large subunit ribosomal RNA", at positions 996 to 1527 of the family's 2925-position model. The record is from RNAcentral. Lineage: Bacteria; Pseudomonadati; Pseudomonadota; Gammaproteobacteria; Vibrionales; Vibrionaceae.
UGCUAACGUCCGUCGUGGAGAGGGAAACAACCCAGACCGCCAGCUAAGGUCCCAAAUUACUACUAAGUGGGAAACGAUGUGGGAAGGCUCAGACAGCCAGGAUGUUGGCUUAGAAGCAGCCAUCAUUAAAGAAAGCGUAAUAGCUCACUGGUCGAGUCGGCCUGCGCGGAAGAUGUAACGGGGCUAAGUAGUAAACCGAAGCUGCGGCAAUAACUUUUGAGUAUUGGGUAGGGGAGCGUUCUGUAAGCGGUUGAAGGUGUGUGGUAACGCAUGCUGGACGUAUCAGAAGUGCGAAUGCUGACAUGAGUAACGAUAAAGGGGGUGAAAAACCUCCUCGCCGGAAGACCAAGGGUUCCUGUCCAACGUUAAUCGGGGCAGGGUAAGUCGACCCCUAAGGCGAGGCCGAAAGGCGUAGUCGAUGGGAAACGGGUUAAUAUUCCCGUACUUCUUACAAUUGCGAUGGGGGGGACGGAGAAGGCUAGGUGGCCUGGCGACGGUUGUCCAGGUUCAAGUGCGUAGGCUU